Poecilia latipinna (sailfin molly) is the source of this 310-nucleotide long non-coding RNA. RefSeq lists it as uncharacterized. Lineage: Eukaryota; Metazoa; Chordata; Actinopteri; Cyprinodontiformes; Poeciliidae. The transcript is spliced from 3 exons. The record is from RefSeq and is a predicted model, not a curated record.
GAAAAAUAAUAGUCAGGUUUACAAAAAGAAAGUGAUAUAGAGAGAAAAGACAAGAGUGGCAAUUUAUAGCCCAGUUUUUCUUUAAGAAAGCAGAUGAGUCAGUCAGCAGCAGCUCUAGCCCCGAUACCAUCAUAACCUCUCCCCCCUGUCCCAGUGAAAAAGAUUGCCUGUGACUGUUUCUGUUGGGGAGAGACAUUUUAAUAAGGUAAUAUAACUACUAAAACAAAUAAAUCUUUAAGCAACCUAUUUGCAUGCAGUAUGUGGACUGUUGCAUGUAAAAUUCACUAGCAGUGAAUAUUGUGCUACUAUC